UUGAUGGUGCUUGCACCUGAUUGAUUUUGGUCGCCAACGAGUGGCGGACGGGUGAGUAACACGUAGGUAACCUGCCCAGAAGCGGGGGACAACAUUUGGAAACAGAUGCUAAUACCGCAUAACAGCGUUGUUCGCAUGAACAACGCUUAAAAGAUGGCUUCUCGCUAUCACUUCUGGAUGGACCUGCGGUGCAUUAGCUUGUUGGUGGGGUAACGGCCUACCAAGGCGAUGAUGCAUAGCCGAGUUGAGAGACUGAUCGGCCACAAUGGGACUGAGACACGGCCCAUACUCCUACGGGAGGCAGCAGUAGGGAAUCUUCCACAAUGGGCGCAAGCCUGAUGGAGCAACACCGCGUGAGUGAAGAAGGGUUUCGGCUCGUAAAGCUCUGUUGUUAAAGAAGAACACGUAUGAGAGUAACUGUUCAUACGUUGACGGUAUUUAACCAGAAAGUCACGGCUAACUACGUGCCAGCAGCCGCGGUAAUACGUAGGUGGCAAGCGUUAUCCGGAUUUAUUGGGCGUAAAGAGAGUGCAGGCGGUUUUCUAAGUCUGAUGUGAAAGCCUUCGGCUUAACCGGAGAAGUGCAUCGGAAACUGGAUAACUUGAGUGCAGAAGAGGGUAGUGGAACUCCAUGUGUAGCGGUGGAAUGCGUAGAUAUAUGGAAGAACACCAGUGGCGAAGGCGGCUACCUGGUCUGCAACUGACGCUGAGACUCGAAAGCAUGGGUAGCGAACAGGAUUAGAUACCCUGGUAGUCCAUGCCGUAAACGAUGAGUGCUAGGUGUUGGAGGGUUUCCGCCCUUCAGUGCCGGAGCUAACGCAUUAAGCACUCCGCCUGGGGAGUACGACCGCAAGGUUGAAACUCAAAGGAAUUGACGGGGGCCCGCACAAGCGGUGGAGCAUGUGGUUUAAUUCGAAGCUACGCGAAGAACCUUACCAGGUCUUGACAUCUUGCGCCAACCCUAGAGAUAGGGCGUUUCCUUCGGGAACGCAAUGACAGGUGGUGCAUGGUCGUCGUCAGCUCGUGUCGUGAGAUGUUGGGUUAAGUCCCGCAACGAGCGCAACCCUUGUUACUAGUUGCCAGCAUUAAGUUGGGCACUCUAGUGAGACUGCCGGUGACAAACCGGAGGAAGGUGGGGACGACGUCAGAUCAUCAUGCCCCUUAUGACCUGGGCUACACACGUGCUACAAUGGACGGUACAACGAGUCGCGAACUCGCGAGGGCAAGCAAAUCUCUUAAAACCGUUCUCAGUUCGGACUGCAGGCUGCAACUCGCCUGCACGAAGUCGGAAUCGCUAGUAAUCGCGGAUCAGCAUGCCGCGGUGAAUACGUUCCCGGGCCUUGUACACACCGCCCGUCACACCAUGAGAGUUUGUAACACCCAAAGUCGGUGGGGUAACCUUUUAGGAGCCAGCCGCCUAAGGUGAACAAA
Molecule: ribosomal RNA, 1430 nt
Filed under: Lactobacillus delbrueckii subsp. bulgaricus
Lineage: Bacteria; Bacillati; Bacillota; Bacilli; Lactobacillales; Lactobacillaceae
Description: bacterial SSU rRNA
Rfam family: Bacterial small subunit ribosomal RNA
Source: RNAcentral